AACACAUGAUGACACACUGUUUCGGUCCCAUAUGAUAACAUGAUUACUGCACAUUGAGAUCAGCUGAUGUU
Molecule: small nucleolar RNA, 71 nt
Organism: Xiphias gladius (swordfish)
Lineage: Eukaryota; Metazoa; Chordata; Actinopteri; Istiophoriformes; Xiphiidae
Product: small nucleolar RNA SNORD73
Exons: 1
Source: RefSeq, a predicted model, not a curated record